This is a long non-coding RNA of Daphnia pulicaria, 251 nucleotides long. RefSeq lists it as uncharacterized. The transcript is spliced from 2 exons. The record is from RefSeq and is a predicted model, not a curated record. NCBI's taxonomy places the organism in Eukaryota, Metazoa, Arthropoda, Branchiopoda, Diplostraca, Daphniidae.
GUCAUUCCAACAAGUUGACUAGUAGCGCUCAGUCAAUUUCCAUCCAUUAGAUCCUCAUGCUGUCAAAAGCAUAAAACACAUGUUUGAAGCACACAUAUAGUGGAAUACCAAUGUGCCGAGAUAAGGAUCUUUUCUGAAUCUUGAAAGUUUGGUGGCGUACCCUGAAACAUCAUGUUUAUUGUUAUGGCUGUUUUUACUUUGGUUUAGAAGGCAACCCAGCUAAGAGUUAGGUAGAGUUUUAUUUCUUACAG